AGGGAGGGGGCGGCGGAGCGCCGAUGUCAUGGAUGGGCUCGGAGGGCCUGGCGGGAGGGGGGCGCCAGUGUUCAGGGCCGUUUUGGUGGCUAGGCGGGAUUGGCCGGAGCCGCGGUGAUCGCGCUCGCCUCGCCGACCGCCAUUUCACAUCCUGCAGAGAAGGCGGGGGCAGCCGCGGAAACGGCUUUUUACAAGAAAUGAUAAAUAGCUGCCAGCCCAACUUCUGAUUCUUAGGCAACUCCAUUUUACCAACAAACCAACCACUCAUUUUGAUUUGGCAACCUGUAUUUUGACAACCCUACUUUGGAUGAAGUUUAAAUAAAGCCAUGGUAAGAUAAUCUACAAAGGGCUAGACGGGUGCAUUUGGGGAUUUAAUCCUGGGAGAAGUUUGGAACAGCUGCUAUGGAUGCUGUGCAGUGUCAGUGAAAGGACUGCUGAUCAGUAGUGAGGCCCACUUACCAACAGGCAGCAUGACUUUUUCUUGGAUCAGCAGUAAUGCUUCACUGCUGGGAAGCAGUGGUAGGAACAGAGACAGCGGUGCAGGCGACCACCUUGGUUUGACUGCGUAGGAGAGGCCUGGGGAGGAGUUUGGGGCAUAGUUGAAAUGACUAGGGGUCCAGAUUGUACACGGAGGCAGGUGAAACCAGAAGGUGAAUUGGGAGGCAGAAGAUGAACAAUUAUUCAUUUUCAUUGGAAGAGGUGGAAGUUCACAGAGAAGAAACAGAAUUUACAGUCUUGGAAGAAUAGUUCUGUGAUAGGGGGGCUAAAAAUCCAAUUUCAUGAGACAGAACUGGAGCUAAAUUUAAAGCAAGAGCUCUGGAGACAA
This is a long non-coding RNA of Physeter macrocephalus (sperm whale), 826 nucleotides long. RefSeq lists it as uncharacterized. Lineage: Eukaryota; Metazoa; Chordata; Mammalia; Artiodactyla; Physeteridae. The transcript has 3 exons. The record is from RefSeq and is a predicted model, not a curated record.